RNAcentral lists this unclassified non-coding RNA (571 nucleotides) under Hevea brasiliensis (rubber tree). The record is from RNAcentral. Lineage: Eukaryota; Viridiplantae; Streptophyta; Magnoliopsida; Malpighiales; Euphorbiaceae.
GGUGGCGUUAGGGCUUCUCGUUUUGCUUCUAAUUUUGGGGCUUCGGUUGCUGUUUGUGAGCUUCCUUUCUCUACUAUAUCUUCUGAUUCAACUGGAGGCGUCGGUGGAACGUGUGUGCUUCGGGGAUGUGUACCCAAGAAAUUGCUCGUAUAUGCAUCAAAAUAUUCUCAUGAGUUUGAGGAGAGUUGUGGUUUUGGAUGGAACUAUGAGGCAGAACCUAAACAUGAUUGGAGCACCCUCAUUGCUAAUAAAAAUGCCGAGUUGCAGCGCCUCACGGGUAUCUACAAGAAUAUUCUGAAGAAUGCGGAUGUCACUCUGAUAGAAGGGCGGGGAAAGGUGGUGGAUCCUCAUACAGUGGAUGUGGAUGGUAAACUCUACUCGGCUAAGAACAUACUAAUUUCAGUUGGGGGCCGCCCAUUUAUCCCAGACAUUCCUGGAAGCGAGUAUGCUAUAGAUUCUGAUGCUGCCCUUGAUUUGCCAACGAAGCCUGACAAAAUUGCCAUUGUUGGAGGCGGUUAUAUUGCACUUGAAUUUGCUGGAAUCUUCAAUGGAUUGAAAAGUGAGGUCCAUG